AUUGAACGCUGGCGGCAGGCCUAACACAUGCAAGUCGAACGGUAACAGGACGAAGCUUGCUUCUUUGCUGACGAGUGGCGGACGGGUGAGUAAUGUCUGGGAAACUGCCUGAUGGAGGGGGAUAACUACUGGAAACGGUCGCUAAUACCGCAUAACGUCGCAAGACCAAAGCGGGGGACCUUCGGGCCUCUUGCCAUCGGAUGUGCCCAGAUGGGAUUAGCUAGUAGGUGGGGUAACGGCUCACCUAGGCGACGAUCCCUAGCUGGUCUGAGAGGAUGACCAGCCACACUGGAACUGAGACACGGUCCAGACUCCUACGGGAGGCAGCAGUGGGGAAUAUUGCACAAUGGGCGCAAGCCUGAUGCAGCCAUGCCGCGUGUAUGAAGAAGGCCUUCGGGUUGUAAAGUACUUUCAGCGGGGAGGAAGGGAGUAAAGUUAAUACCUUUACUCAUUGACGGUACCCGCAGAAGAAGCACCGGCUAACUCCGUG
Molecule: ribosomal RNA, 490 nt
Filed under: uncultured bacterium
Lineage: Bacteria
Description: partial 16S ribosomal RNA
Rfam family: Bacterial small subunit ribosomal RNA
Source: RNAcentral